ACUCCGACCGGAGACGGAAGGAGUGCUUUUAUUAGAUCAAAACCAAUCGGUGGCGGGUUCGCUCGUCAUCGUACAACUUGGUGACUCUGAAUAACUUUAUGCUGAUCGCACGGUCUCGCACCGGCGACGCAUCUUUCAAAUGUCUGCCUUAUCAACUGUCGAUGGUAGGUUCUGCGCCUACCAUGGUUGUAACGGGUAACGGGGAAUCAGGGUUCGAUUCCGGAGAGGGAGCCUGAGAAACGGCUACCACAUCCAAGGAAGGCAGCAGGCGCGCAAAUUACCCACUCCCGGCACGGGGAGGUAGUGACGAAAAAUAACGAUACGGGACUCAUCCGAGGCCCCGUAAUCGGAAUGAGUACACUCUAAACCCUUUAACGAGGAUCAAUUGGAGGGCAAGUCUGGUGCCAGCAGCCGCGGUAAUUCCAGCUCCAAUAGCGUAUAUUAAAGUUGUUGCGGUUAAAAAGCUCGUAGUCGAAUCUGUGUCUUGCGCCGCCGGUUCAUCGUUCGCGGUGUUAACUGGCGUGUCGCAGGACGUCCUGCCGGUGGGCUUAGCUCGCAAGGGCGGCCCAACUCAAUCCUGCCGCGGUGCUCUUCACUGAGUGUCGAGGUGGGCCGGCACGUUUACUUUGAACAAAUUAGAGUGCUUAAAGCAGGCUAAAACUUCGCCUGAAUACUGUGUGCAUGGAAUAAUGGAAUAGGACCUCGGUUCUAUUUUGUUGGUUUUCGGAACCCCGAGGUAAUGAUUAAUAGGAACGGAUGGGGGCAUUCGUAUUGCGACGUUAGAGGUGAAAUUCUUGGAUCGUCGCAAGACGGACAGAAGCGAAAGCAUUUGCCAAAAACGCUUUCAUUGAUCAAGAACGAAAGUUAGAGGUUCGAAGGCGAUCAGAUACCGCCCUAGUUCUAACCAUAAACGAUGCCAGCUAGCGAUCCGUCGACGUUCCUCCGAUGACUCGACGGGCAGCUUCCGGGAAACCAAAGCUUUUGGGUUCCGGGGGAAGUAUGGUUGCAAAGCUGAAACUUAAAGGAAUUGACGGAAGGGCACCACCAGGAGUGGAGCCUGCGGCUUAAUUUGACUCAACACGGGAAACCUCACCAGGCCCGGACACCGGAAGGAUUGACAGAUUGAGAGCUCUUUCUUGAUUCGGUGGGUGGUGGUGCAUGGCCGUUCUUAGUUGGUGGAGCGAUUUGUCUGGUUAAUUCCGAUAACGAACGAGACUCUAGCCUGCUAACUAGGCGUAUUUUGACAUCGCAAAGGCCCGCCGGUAUUGGGGUUCGCUCCUUUAUCGUGCGCGGUUUUUACUGUCGGCGUACAAACAAUUCUUCUUAGAGGGACAGGCGGCUUCUAGCCGCACGAGAUUGAGCAAUAACAGGUCUGUGAUGCCCUUAGAUGUUCUGGGCCGCACGCGCGCUACACUGAAGGAAUCAGCGUGUCCUCCCUGGCCGAGUGGCCCGG
Molecule: ribosomal RNA, 1453 nt
Filed under: Deporaus insularis
Lineage: Eukaryota; Metazoa; Arthropoda; Insecta; Coleoptera; Attelabidae
Description: SSU rRNA
Rfam family: Eukaryotic small subunit ribosomal RNA
Source: RNAcentral